UACGUAGGUGGCAAGCGUUGUCCGGAUUUACUGGGCGUAAAGAGCGCGCAGGCGGUCGUUCAAGUCGGAUGUGAAAGCCCCCGGCUCAACUGGGGAGGGUCAUUCGAUACUGAUCGACUCGAAGGCAGGAGAGGGAAGCGGAAUUCCCGGUGUAGUGGUGAAAUGCGUAGAUAUCGGGAGGAACACCGGUGGCGAAAGCGGCUCUCUGGUCCGGACCUGACGCUGAGGCGCGAAAGCGUGGGGAGCAAACAGG
RNAcentral lists this ribosomal RNA (253 nucleotides) under uncultured bacterium. RNAcentral's name for it is "partial 16S ribosomal RNA". It matches the Rfam family "Bacterial small subunit ribosomal RNA", at positions 524 to 776 of the family's 1533-position model. The record is from RNAcentral.